AGGGCUGUAGCUCAGUUGUAGAGUAUUUGCUUUGCAUGUGCCAAGUUCUGGGUUCAAUCCCAGUAGCCCCU
Molecule: transfer RNA, 71 nt
Filed under: Erinaceus europaeus (western European hedgehog)
Lineage: Eukaryota; Metazoa; Chordata; Mammalia; Eulipotyphla; Erinaceidae
Rfam family: tRNA
About the family: Transfer RNA (tRNA) molecules are approximately 80 nucleotides in length. Their secondary structure includes four short double-helical elements and three loops (D, anti-codon, and T loops). Further hydrogen bonds mediate the characteristic L-shaped molecular structure. tRNAs have two regions of fundamental functional importance: the anti-codon, which is responsible for specific mRNA codon recognition, and the 3' end, to which the tRNAs corresponding amino acid is attached (by aminoacyl-tRNA synthetases). tRNAs cope with the degeneracy of the genetic code in two manners: having more than one tRNA (with a specific anti-codon) for a particular amino acid; and 'wobble' base-pairing, i.e. permitting non-standard base-pairing at the 3rd anti-codon position.
Source: Rfam by way of RNAcentral